UGAAUACCAGACGCUACGGCGUUGAAGCAGUGUAUGUCAGACUUCCAAGAAAAGCUCGCAAUGUCCGAAAUAAAAUAAUGCCUGUACCAUAACCGACACAGGUGGGUAGGUAGAGUAUACUAAGGGGCGCGAGAUAACUCUCUCUAAGGAACUCGGCAAAAUAACUCCGUAACUUCGGGAGAAGGAGUGCCUUAUUUUAAGGUUGCAAUAACAAGAUCCAAGCAACUGUUUACCAAAAACACAGGUCUCCGCUAAGUCGUAAGACGAUGUAUGGGGGCUGACGCCUGCCCAGUGCCAGAAGGCUAAAGAAGUUGGUUAGCUAUUGCGAAGCUGAUGACUGAAGCCCUGGUGAACGGCGGCCGUAACAAUAACGGUCCUAAGGUAGCGAAAUUCCUUGUCGGGUAAGUUCCGACCCGCACGAAAGGCGUAAUGAUUUGGAUACUGUCUCGGAGAGGGGCUCGGUGAAAUAGACUUGUCUGUGAAGAUGCGGACUACCUGCACCUGGACAGAAAGACCCUAUGAAGCUUUACUGUAACUUGAAAUUGAAAUUGGACUUUAUUUGCGCAGUAUAGGUGGGAGGCGUUUGAAGAUAUUCUUGCGGGAAUGUUGGAGCCAUUAGUGAGAUACCACUCUUGUAAUGUUAGAUUUCUAACUUUGUACCAUAAUCUGGUCAAAGAACAGUUUCAGGCGGGCAGUUUGACUGGGGCGGUCGCCUCCCAAAUGGUAACGGAGGCGUACAAAGGUUUCCUCUGAACGUGUAGAAAUCGUAUCUAGAGUGUAAAGGCAUAAGGAAGCUUGACUGUGAGACCUACAAGUCAAGCAGGGACGAAAGUCGGUCUUAGUGAUCUGACGGUACUGAGUGGAAAGGCCGUCACUCAACGGAUAAAAGUUACUCUAGGAUAACAGGCUGAUCUCCCCCAAGAGUUCACAUCGACGGGGAGGUUUGGCACCUCGAUGUCGGCUCAUCGCAUCCUGGGGCGGUAGUACGUCCCAAGGGUUGGGCUGUUCGCCCAUGAAAGCGGUACGCGAGCUGGGUUCAGAACGUCGUGAGACAGUUCGGUCCAUAUCCGGUGUAGGCGUUAGAAUAUUGAGAGGAGCCUUCUUUAGUACGAGAGGACCGAGAAGGACAUACCUCUGGUGUACCAGUUAUCGUGCCAACGGUAAACGCUGGGUAGCUAUGUAUGGAGAGGAUAACCGCUGAAAGCAUCUAAGUGGGAAGCCCACCUCGAGAU
Molecule: ribosomal RNA, 1232 nt
Filed under: metagenome
Description: bacterial LSU rRNA
Rfam family: Bacterial large subunit ribosomal RNA
Source: RNAcentral